UUAUGAACUGGCUUCAUUCCCUUAGGCUCAAUGGACAGACUUGAAGAACCUAUGUUUUCAGUCACUGGUUAGUAAACUUUCUGUAAACAGCCAGAUAGCAAGCAUUGUAAGCUUUUAGAACCAUAAGAUUCCUGUCACAACCAGUCUAUGUUACUGCUGCAGUGUGAAAACUGUUGCAGAGCAUAUGGGAAUCAAAGAAGGUGGCUGUUCCAGCAAGACUCUAUCUAUGAGGACAGCUGGAGCAUAAGACAAUUGCCAGUACUGGUUCACUUAUUUCCCAUUAGUGUCAUAUUUAAUUUCUGUGACUCUAUCUUCUAAUAUGUCAAGUAGUGAUCUCCACCAUGAAUGUCUUUGCCCUAUUCUUUUUCUUGGACAGCAUGCAGGAUCUUUAAGAAGUCAAGUUGCACAUAAAUCUAAUAGGCUUUCAUUUCAGUGAGACAUAGACAUGGACAUGGACAUGGACAUGGACAUGGACAUGGACAUAGGUUUAGUGUAGAUUCUUCUAGGAUUUGGGUGUAUAACGUAGCCUUGAAGAUUCGGGUAAAUUCAGAUGAAUGGAAUCCUAGGCCAUGUACAUCAGGGGUUAACGCUGAUGAAUAUCUAACAUAGUCCUGUUCUGCAUCUGAUAUUGACAGGACACACUUUCCAUUCUUGGUAUUGCCUCAGAUCUGCUGUGCAGUCAAAAACAUUUCUCAACCUCAGUACAAGGGUUCGAAUUGUGCAAACAUGUCCCAGAACCCUUUCCAUAGGCUUUCCACAUCAAAGACCCUCUCCUACUAUUAUUUCACUAUUCAAUCUGCCUCCAUUGGGUUCUCCACAGACAGAUGCACAUAUGUAUGUCUAGACAAGUCUUUAUGAAUCUAUGCAACAUGCAUUUUUUUCCUUCCCUGUCACAAAGCGGUACUAUCCCGCAUGGAGACUCAACGAUCCAUCUCAUGACAGAUUAACUUAAUGGCCAAUGAAUCAGGAGAGGAAAGUAAAUCCCAACAGACAGCACAUUAAGUUCAUUACUUGAGUCCUAUCAGUUGAAGAAAUAGUAAUAAAAAUAAAACCAACUGCAUCCUAUCAUAAAAACCAGUUCCACUGGCAGUACUGCCCAUAGUGUGAGAUUUCUACAUCUUCACAAACACACACACCCAUCUUUGCAUUCCUGUUGUAUGAUGGUCCAGUCUAGGCUCUGCCCACAUCAGCACAUGAUGUGGAUCUCACCCUGGGGGAAAAGUUAUUAUCAGAAAUUUUGAAACAAGUAGUUGCUAAAUAGAGGUUUGAUAAUGGAGCCAGAGGCAGCUGUCACCCGCUGCUCUGUUUUUGCGCUGCAUAUGUAAGAGUAUAGAAACAUUUUAAGCAGCUUAGGGGCAGAAAUAAUGGAAAACUAGUGAUUUUGGUAAUUUACAUAUUUAUAGAGACUGUGGAGAUUUUAGUCAGGAAACAAAGAAGAAAACAGAGUUGUCAAUGAUCAAAUGCUGCCUGCCUUGCAGAGCUAAAACCAGCAAUUUAUGGCUAAGCUCAGUUACACCUUUGAAAUUACUAUAAAAAAAGGAAAAGAAAAGGAAAACACCGAAAAAUGUGCACUUUGGUGCAGGUUAUCAGCUUUAAAGCUCUGUAAAAUAGAUGCAUCUGAGCAGGUGACAUUUCAUUCAGUC
RNAcentral lists this long non-coding RNA (1643 nucleotides) under Mus musculus (house mouse). RNAcentral describes it as "long non-coding RNA chr10:9298945-9300588". Lineage: Eukaryota; Metazoa; Chordata; Mammalia; Rodentia; Muridae. The record is from RNAcentral.